Long non-coding RNA from Tachysurus fulvidraco (yellow catfish), 2134 nucleotides. RefSeq lists it as uncharacterized. The record is from RefSeq and is a predicted model, not a curated record. Lineage: Eukaryota; Metazoa; Chordata; Actinopteri; Siluriformes; Bagridae. The transcript has 3 exons.
AUUCUCAUUAUUUAUACUUUUCUUUUACCCAGCACAAUUUAUGAGUAUAUUCUCCUGGAGGGUGUUAAUAAUAAUAAUGCUGUGGUUACUGAUCUAAGUAACCAGUGCACUGAUUAAUGUGUUAAAAACACAAACCCUGUUACGCUCAGUAAAUGUGUGUAGGUAUUAGUAAAGUCCUUAGAAUGCUUAGCAAACUAAUCACAACCUUAUGUUUUACUUUACCAUGGCACUGUUUGUGUGAAUUCUAAGUUUUGGUGGUGAGAUGAUGUCAGUGUGUGAUGUGUGAGUCUGAUAUAAUAGUGUGUAUGUUAUGAUGAAAUUCUGACAGGUGCAGUGAGGGCAGGAGGCCCUGUGGAGCAGUGGACUUGUUAGCUCUAUUUAUCCUGAUGCCUGUCUACAGUUCCCAGAUCCCAGAUCUCAACACACACGCGCAUACACAAGCACACACACACACACACACACACAACCCGCUCUACUACACCGUGCCACUGAGGAGGCAGCAAAAGUGUGUGUGUGUGUGUGUGACAGAGAGAAAGAGAUUGCUAUGGCUCGGUGUUGGCCGUCAUCCUCUUUCCUAAACCCCUGUUAAAUCCCCCGAAGGCCAAAUCCACACAGCUUAAGCAGCAGAUCUGAGCCAUUUAAAUGGGUGAAUGUCACCAUCACCCUCUUGCAGAAACACACACACACACACACGCACACACAUACACGCAUGCCUGAGGCAGUAACUGUCCAGACUGACCAGCUGUACAGAGACACAGAGAAUGAGAGAGAGCGUUAGCAUCUCUGACAGGUUGCAGCAGAGCAGUAGAGAGGAGUGAGAAUCAGACUGGUUCAGACUGGGCUGAGAUUACUGAACAGAGACAAAAUGGCAGCCAUUCACCUGGGGCACAUCAUCAUUUCUCCUGCCUGCUUCAGGCUGCAGAAAAAAAGGCGCUAGAUGGCAAGAUCUUCAGAGAUUAAGCUUGCAGUCACAGCUGUUUUCAUCCAUCUUCUCCAGUGAGCUAAAACUCAGUCGGUGGCCAUGUGACCAUAACUCACUGGCUUGAAAGAGGUUCCUGAAGUGCAUGGAGUAAGAGCUUUAUCCUGAUCAAGGUCCCAGAGGAUCCAGAGUCUAUCCCGGGAAUGCUGAGCUAGAGGUGCGAAUACAUUGUGGAUGGGAUGCUGCCAUUAACAGUAAGGAAUAUUAUGCAGAAAAGUCGAAACCCUAGACUAAAUGUACCCUGUGUUCAGAGGCAAUGAUUUUAGGUUCUCAUAAAGCCAGCAUACAGAGAGUUUCUUAUUGUCCUGUACUGUGUGUCUGCAAAUCCUUUGGAUUCUUCCUUGCACAAAGCUGAAAGAUGUAACACCGCUUGCUCCACCCACUUUAUGUUGCUAUUGCUCAUAUCAUCUAUUCGUAUCAUCUCAAAUCAUCUAUGACUUUCGAGUAAAUUCAUGUUGCAUUAUAUAUUGCCGACGAUCUUCCUGUUAGUUUCCUGUUAAUAUCUAAUAAUAAUGAUUGAAUAUUAAGCCAGAGCUGAAUGGCUUAAAGGGCUCACAGCUAAACUAAAAAAAAAAAUUCGCCAGCCAAAAUCUACUUUUAUUUCCAGACCAAAUUGCAUAAUUUAUCAGUUACUCGCAUGCAACAUUACCCUUCUUUUUUCCUCUGCCUUUUCCUCACUCCCACACCCACACCCACUCCCCACCACUGCCCCUUUAUGACCCCCCCCACGCCACCCUGCUGCCUCUACUCAUUUCCAUCCUGUGCCCGUCUCUGCUGCCCAGCUGGAGUGCUUCUGGCACUCGUCCCAAGGGCGAAAACAAAGAUGUAAAUGCGGAUCGCCGCAGAUGGAACAGUUGUACGAACAAGAGCUUUUCAAAGUGCACUUAUGGGGCCUGGUGAUUCCCUCAGGCUCUGGGUUCAAACGACUCCUGCACCCUCCUGCUCCCUUCAGAGAGAUCUGGCACUGCCGUGAAGAUUAGCACGUUAAAGCACUUCCUCCUUCAGGUUGUCUGACCUGCUGCUGGUCAGAUGAAAUGCGCUGGCCCGCAGGAAGUUCAGCUAGGAUAAGCACUCAGUACCCUCUGUCUCUCUCUGUGUGUGUGUGUGUGUGUGUGUGUGGUGUGUGUGUGUGUGUGUGUGUGUGUGUGUGUGUGU